RNAcentral lists this ribosomal RNA (253 nucleotides) under uncultured bacterium. Its description in RNAcentral is "partial 16S ribosomal RNA". It matches the Rfam family "Bacterial small subunit ribosomal RNA", at positions 524 to 776 of the family's 1533-position model. The record is from RNAcentral.
UACGUAGGGACCGAGCGUUGUCCGGAAUCAUUGGGCGUAAAGAGCGUGUAGGCGGCCAACUAAGUCCUGCGUGAAAUCUCGGGGCUCAACCCCGAGCGGUCGUGGGAAACUGGUUGGCUAGAGUGCGGGAGAGGAGAGUGGAAUUCCUGGUGUAGCGGUGAAAUGCGCAGAUAUCAGGAAGAACACCCGUGGCUAAGGCGGCUCUCUAGUACGGUACUGACGCUGAGACGCGAAAGCGUGGGGAGCGAACAGG